GACGAACGCUGGCGGCGUGCCUAACACAUGCAAGUCGAGCGGGGUGGUUCUGAAGGGCAACCGGAGGGAUCACCUAGCGGCGAACGGGUGAGUAACGCGUGGAUAACCUACCUCAAGGUCUGGGAUAACAGCUCGAAAGGGCUGCUAAUACCGGAUGUGGUGCAUAUGCUGCAUGGUAGAUGCACUAAAGGGGAAACCCGCCAUGAGAUGGGUCCGCGUCCCAUCAGCUAGUUGGUGGGGUAAAGGCCUACCAAGGCGACGACGGGUAGCCGGCCUGAGAGGGUGACCGGCCACACUGGGACUGAGACACGGCCCAGACUCCUACGGGGGGCAGCAGUGGGGAAUAUUGCACAAUGGGCGAAAGCCUGAUGCAGCGACGCCGCGUGGGCGAAGAAGGCCUUCGGGUUGUAAGCCUGUCUGGAGGGACGAAGUAAUGACGGUACCUCCGGAGGAAGCCACGGCUAACUACGUGCCAGCAGCCGCGGUAACAUACUCGUA
This 498-nucleotide ribosomal RNA is filed under the name uncultured bacterium. Its description in RNAcentral is "bacterial SSU rRNA". It matches the Rfam family "Bacterial small subunit ribosomal RNA", at positions 28 to 529 of the family's 1533-position model. The record is from RNAcentral.